GCUGGGUGUGCUUGUGCACACCUGCAGUCCGAGCUACUUGGAGGCGGAGGCAGGAGGAUCGCUUGAGGCCAGGGGUUCAAGGCUGUCGUGCGCUUUGAUUACACCUAUGAAUAGCCACUGCACUCUAGCCUGGGCAAUGUAGUGUGGCCCUGCCUCUU
Molecule: unclassified non-coding RNA, 158 nt
Organism: Callithrix jacchus (white-tufted-ear marmoset)
Lineage: Eukaryota; Metazoa; Chordata; Mammalia; Primates; Cebidae
Rfam family: Metazoan signal recognition particle RNA
About the family: The signal recognition particle (SRP) is a universally conserved ribonucleoprotein.
Source: Ensembl